GAUGAACGCUGGCGGCGUGCCUAAUACAUGCAAGUCGAGCGAACGGACGAGAAGCUUGCUUCUCUGAUGUUAGCGGCGGACGGGUGAGUAACACGUGGAUAACCUACCUAUAAGACUGGGGUAACUUCGGGAAACCGUAGCUAAUACCGGAUAAUAUUUUGAACCGCAUGGUUCAAAAGUGAAAGACGGUCUUGCUGUCACUUAUAGAUGGAUCCGCGCUGCAUUAGCUAGUUGGUAAGGUAACGGCUUACCAAGGCAACGAUGCAUAGCCGACCUGAGAGGGUGAUCGGCCACACUGGAACUGAGACACGGUCCAGACUCCUACGGGAGGCAGCAGUAGGGAAUCUUCCGCAAUGGGCGAAAGCCUGACGGAGCAACGCCGCGUGAGUGAUGAAGGUCUUCGGAUCGUAAAACUCUGUUAGUAGGGAAGAACAUAUGUGUAAGUAACUGUGCACAUCUUGACGGUACCUAAUCAGAAAGCCACGGCUAACUACGUG
Molecule: ribosomal RNA, 497 nt
Filed under: uncultured bacterium
Lineage: Bacteria
Description: partial 16S ribosomal RNA
Rfam family: Bacterial small subunit ribosomal RNA
Source: RNAcentral